CCCGUGAGAUCCGAUNUCNCCGCCNGUCNNNAGGCGGACGGAGGGACGGANGAGGUUACNNGGAAAAAAUUGGGGCGAUCUAGGCGGGCGAACCUCGCCAACGAACGAUCGGACAUGGGAUAACGGAAGAGGGCGUCGGCUCGAGUUCGUCGGUUCCUCGGGCCGAGGCACGUACGGUGAAUAGGGACGGUCGGGGCCGCCCGUACCGGGUCGUGAGAGGUGAAAUUCUAGGAUCGACCCGAGACGAACUGCCGCGAAAGCAUUCGGCAAGGACGCUUUCAUUAAUCAAGAACGAAAGUCGGGGGAUCGAAGACGAUCAGAUACCGUCGUAGUCCCGACCGUAAACGAUGCCGACCGAGGGCCCGGAGGAGUUACGUACGACCUUCCGGGCCCUCCCGCGAGAAAUCAGGAGUAUUCGGGUUCCGGGGGGAGUAUGGUCGCAAGGCCGAAACUUAAAGGAAUUGACGGAAGGGCACCACCAGGAGUGGAAUCUGCGGCUUAAUUUGACUCAACGCGGGAAAACUCACCAGGUCAGGACACGGUAAGGAUUGACGGACUGAAGGAUCUUUCUCGAUUCCGUGGAAAGUGGUGCAUGGCCGUUUUUGGUUGGUGGAUCGAUCCGUCUGGUUAAUUCCGUUAACGAACGAGACCUCGGCACUCCGAAUAGCGCGGCGGACGNCGCGGCGAACGAGACCUCGGCACUCCGAAUAGCACGGCGGACGCCGCGGCCUCCGGGCCGUCUUCCGCGCGAGCUUCUUAGAGGGACCGUCCCCCGCCGGGGAAGGAGGUUCGAGGCAACGACAGGUCUGUGAUGCCCUUAGAUGUUCUGGGCCGCACGCGCAUUACACUGACGCGUCCAACGGGCGACUCCCGGCCCGAAGGGGUCGGGGAAUCCGCAAGGCGCGUCGUGAUGGGGAUUGAACGUUGCAAUUGUUGUUCACGAACGAGGAAUUCCUAGUAGGCGCGGGUCAUCAACCCGCGCCGAUUACGUCCCUGCCCUUUGUACACACCGCCCGUCGCUCCUACCGAUCGAACGGUCCGGUGAGGACCCAGGACGGCGCGGGACCCGAGGGGCCGAAAGGCUCCGCGACCCGAGUCGGAAUCCGUCCGAACCUUACCGNUUAGAGGAAGGAGAAGU
This 1138-nucleotide ribosomal RNA is filed under the name Arcella intermedia. Its description in RNAcentral is "SSU rRNA". It matches the Rfam family "Eukaryotic small subunit ribosomal RNA", at positions 697 to 1789 of the family's 1831-position model. Lineage: Eukaryota; Tubulinea; Elardia; Arcellinida; Arcellidae. The record is from RNAcentral.